CUUGAACGCUGGCGGCAGGCCUCACACCUGCAAGUCGAGCGAGCGGCGGACGGGUGAGUAAUGUCUGGGUAACUGCCAGAUGGAGGGGGAUAACUACUGGAAACGGUAGCUAAUACCGCAUACUAUCAGAUGUGCCCAGAUGGGAUUAGCUAGUAGGUGGGGUAAUGGAGCACCUAGCCGACGAUCUCUAGCUGGUCUGAGAGGAUGACCAGCCACACGGGGACAGAGACACGGUCCAGACACCUACGAGAGGCAGCAGUGGGUAAUAUUGCACAAUGGGGGCAAGACUGAUGAAGCCAGGCCGCGGGUAUGAAGAAGGCCUUAGGGUUGUAAAGUACUUUCAGCGAGGAGGCGUUACUCGCAGAAGAAGCACGGGCUAACUCCGUGCCAGCAGCCGCGGUAAUAC
RNAcentral lists this ribosomal RNA (406 nucleotides) under uncultured bacterium. Its description in RNAcentral is "partial 16S ribosomal RNA". It matches the Rfam family "Bacterial small subunit ribosomal RNA", at positions 30 to 526 of the family's 1533-position model. The record is from RNAcentral.